AGAGUUUGAUCAUGGCUCAGGAUUAACGCUGGCGGUAUGCCUAACACAUGCAAGUCGAACGGAAUACUCGAAAAGAGAAUCUCACACUAGUGAGAGGUUCUCCAACCGAGUAUUAGUGGCGGACGGGUGAGUAACACGUUGGAACCUGCCCCGAAGUGGGGAAUAACUGCUCGAAAGAGUAGCUAAUACCCCAUAGUAUCCGGUUUAUCCGGAUUAAAGAUUUAUCGCUUCGGGAGGGGCCUGCGUCUGAUUAGCCUGUUGGUGGGGUAAAAGCUCACCAAGGCGACGAUCAGUAGCUGGUUCGAGAGGAUGACCAGCCACACUGGGACUGAGAUACGGCCCAGACUCCUACGGGAGGCAGCAGUGAGGAAUCUUCCACAAUGGACGAAAGUCUGAUGGAGCAAUACCGCGUGCAGGACGACGCUUUUCGGAGUGUAAACUGCUUUUGUCGUCGUAGAUUAUGACUGUAGACGAAGAAUAAGGACCGGCUAACUACGUG
RNAcentral lists this ribosomal RNA (499 nucleotides) under uncultured bacterium. RNAcentral describes it as "bacterial SSU rRNA". It matches the Rfam family "Bacterial small subunit ribosomal RNA", at positions 8 to 507 of the family's 1533-position model. The record is from RNAcentral.